RNAcentral lists this ribosomal RNA (396 nucleotides) under uncultured bacterium. Its description in RNAcentral is "partial 16S ribosomal RNA". It matches the Rfam family "Bacterial small subunit ribosomal RNA", at positions 523 to 918 of the family's 1533-position model. The record is from RNAcentral.
AUACGUAGGUGGCAAGCGUUAUCCGGAUUUAGUGGGUGUAAAGGGCGCGUAGGCGGGGGUGCAAGUCAGAUGUGAAAUCUAUGGGCUUAACUCAUAAACUGCAUUUGAAACUGUAUCUCUUGAGUGCUGGAGAGGUAGACGGAAUUACUUGUGUAGCGGUGAAAUGCGUAGAUAUAAGGAAGAACACCAGUGGCGAAGGCGGUCUACUGGACAGUAACUGACGCUGAGGCGCGAAAGCGUGGGGAGCAAACAGGAUUAGAUACCCUGGUAGUCCACGCUGUAAACGAUGAAUACUAGGUGUGGGGGGACUGACCCCCUCCGUGCCGCAGUUAACACAAUAAGUAUUCCACCUGGGGAGUACGGCCGCAAGGUUGAAACUCAAAUGAAUUGACGGGG